Molecule: unclassified non-coding RNA, 19 nt
Filed under: Chlamydomonas reinhardtii
Lineage: Eukaryota; Viridiplantae; Chlorophyta; Chlorophyceae; Chlamydomonadales; Chlamydomonadaceae
Description: small RNA Cre_3295
Source: RNAcentral
UGGCAGGGUUGACGACCGC